CCCUUAGAUGUCCCGGGCCGCACGCGCGUUACACUGAUGCAUUCAACGAGCAUAUAACCUUGGCCGAGAGGCCUGGGUAAUCUUGUUAACAUGCAUCGUGAUAGGGAUAGAUUAUUGCAAUUAUUAAUCUUGAACGAGGAAUUCCUAGUAAUCGCAGUUCAUCAAACUGCAAUGAUUACGUCCCUGCCCUUUGUACACACCGCCCGUCGCACCUACCGAUUGAAUGGUCCGGUGAGGACUCGGGAUUGUGGUUUAGCUCCUUCAUUGGGGCCUGACUGCGAGAACUUGUCCGAACCUUAUCAUUUAGAGGAAGGUGAAGUCGUAACA
RNAcentral lists this ribosomal RNA (327 nucleotides) under uncultured eukaryote. RNAcentral describes it as "partial 18S ribosomal RNA". It matches the Rfam family "Eukaryotic small subunit ribosomal RNA", at positions 1470 to 1796 of the family's 1831-position model. The record is from RNAcentral.